RNAcentral lists this long non-coding RNA (226 nucleotides) under Danio rerio (zebrafish). RNAcentral describes it as "si:dkey-158n23.3 (ENSDARG00000100326.2)". Lineage: Eukaryota; Metazoa; Chordata; Actinopteri; Cypriniformes; Danionidae. The record is from RNAcentral.
AUCCGAGUUAACGUGAGCUGUUAUAUGGCUUUAGCGUCUUUGCAGAGAUAUUGACCGACUGUAGCGGUAACAACAGACGCAUCGAAUGUCCUAGCCUGCUGCAUUGAGACGCAGAAUAUAUCUUCAUUUCUCCGUUUAUGCUCUCAACAUUUUCACAAAGCCAAGCUGCAUAUGAGAUGGAGACUGACCCAGACUGAGCACCAUCUCUACAUCUGGGCCACACAGA